AGAAACCCUAAGGGAUGGAUCAAGGAGAGGAAUUGAGGAAGGACAGAGAGCAGGAGCAUAUGGACAGAGGAGAGGCAGAAGCCGGGCUCUGCAGGGCUGUGGAAGCUGGAGGAGUAGGUUGUCCCAGAGUCCCGUACCCCUGGGGAUCCAGGAAGUUACACUGAGGUGAGGCCAACUGCUCUGUGUGUGGAAGCCAGAGAAGAAAGCAGCACAGAACAGAUGCAAACCAAGGAGGCUGGAAGAUAAGAGCAGAGCCAUCAGGACACGAGCCCCUCGCGGCAUUUCAGAGCUUCCUGUGUGCAGCAUGGAUCUAAAGCUGGUGGAUGCAGGGGGGUGAACAAGACAACAUCUUCACUUCCUGCAUGCUGAUGGCAGAAGUGAGACAUCAGCGAAGAAACAUCACGAUCACCAAAUUACGAUGAACACCAUGGAGGAAACAAAGGACACUGUGACACCAAGGAAGGAAGGGAGGUUACUUUUCAUAGUGGCUGUAAAUAGAACUGAAGGCUGAAAAACAGCUGUUAAAAUGGCUUGUUUGUUUGAAGAUGAAUGAGAGUACACAAUAAAAGGUAAUUCUCCCUCCCAUCCCCAA
Long non-coding RNA from Homo sapiens (human), 592 nucleotides. Ensembl annotates it as long intergenic non-protein coding RNA 2611. NCBI's taxonomy places the organism in Eukaryota, Metazoa, Chordata, Mammalia, Primates, Hominidae. The record is from Ensembl.